UGACGCAGUCAAAUUGGG
Molecule: unclassified non-coding RNA, 18 nt
Filed under: Mus musculus (house mouse)
Lineage: Eukaryota; Metazoa; Chordata; Mammalia; Rodentia; Muridae
Description: oocyte_clustered_small_RNA834
Source: RNAcentral